This is a long non-coding RNA of Cavia porcellus (domestic guinea pig), 1951 nucleotides long. RefSeq lists it as uncharacterized. Lineage: Eukaryota; Metazoa; Chordata; Mammalia; Rodentia; Caviidae. The transcript is spliced from 2 exons. The record is from RefSeq and is a predicted model, not a curated record.
UCUUUGGCCAUUUCUUAAGGUAUUUCUGAGAAGUGGGAAGGUGGGGCUUAGUGGAGAUGUCAUGCUUGAUAUUCAAUACAAGCAUUGAUACAACAGAAGCAGUGUGGAACGUCUGUCCUUCAUUGCCAUUAAAUUCUGUCUCCUGCUCUCUGGAAGGAGGCUGCCAGGGAUAAUCAAACUCAAGCUCUUCCCAGAGAGGACAGCGACACAAAACACACCAGAACUAAGCACUGGUACAUCAGGUCCCAACUUGAUCGACUGAGGAUACAUCUUAUAAAUUCUUUUCCUUUAUUGUUACUUUACUUAAUGUAUAAAAAUGACAAUAGUUUUAUACACUCAUAGUGUGUUUUAAAAGCGCCUAUCACAUAGAAUGGUAGUGCAAAUCGAUUGCCUUUCCUGGUCUGCCCAAUCCCAGGUUUCUGUGCUCCAAAGUAAGCACUAUUAAUAGCUCUUCAUAUGUUCUCCUAAACAUUUUCAGAGAGGAGAAGAGAAAAAUUAUUUUUUUCUGUGUCCCAAUUUUUUUUCCUCUCAGAGCUCACAGUAAUAUGUAUCAUCACUAAAUCUUUACCAGGCGAGUCCCAUAAAUAUCUCAAGCUAUUCCAACGAUGCUAGAGAGGCAAUUUGGGCAGGGAAGAGAUGGCAAUUACAAUGAAUGACAGACCGGAUAAUUUUUUCCAGCCUUCCAUGCUUUUUGUUUAUGUAUUUUUAAAUCUGAAUUCAUUUUGAAUUUCAUAGCUACUUUAAUUUAAAAGGGGCUGCAUUUACUGAAAUUAUGUUGGGGCCUAAAUUAACUCCCUAUAAAUCCAGGGUGCAUGUGAACCUGGGCCACGGAGCUGAAUAUGGUGGUCCUAUAUCCUUGAACACGUUUGUUUUCUGUUUUUUAACUGAGGAUUGGCAGGAUUUCACACUGAGCUACAUCCCCAGCCCUUUGCUUUAUUUUUUAUUUUUGAGGUAAGUUCCACUAAGACACUGAGUUGCCCAGACUGAGCUUGAGCUUGCCAUCCUCCUGCCUCAGCCUCCCAGAGUGCUAGGGUUAUGAACGUGUGCCACCACUAUGGCCAACUUCCUUAACAUCUUGUGGCUUUGAAAUCCUGACACUUGGCUAUUCCCUUUAAGUCCUAGUACCAGAAUGCAUCACUCCUCUGUCCUCCAAUCUCCUGCUGGCCCAAACACAUCUUAAACCUUGGUCUUGGUAAACACCCACUGGCACUUGACCAUUGUACCUGGGUUUGGUCUCAGCUUCUCCAGAGGUGGAGUCAUUCUGGCCUCCAGUCUGACUUGAGGCAGACUCAACAUUACCUAAAAGGAGGAUCUGCCACCAGAUGGUCACUCUGUCUUUCUGUCCUGUCACAGAUUGCUGUGGACAGAAAACACAAAGAAAAGUGUUUCUCUUCAUUUUUGUUCUUCAUGCAAGUCAGCCCGAACCCAGAGCCCCUGGGAACACCUCAUUAACAGAAACGGAGCAGAGCAAGAUUGCUGGAAGAGAGGUACAAACAGAAGCUGCAGCCUGACCAAAGCUGGCGGAGAGACAUGCUGGGGCCUGACAGUCAGCUUCUCUCACACCUGCCCUGCGAAGUCCACCUGGCUCAGGUGACUCCCCUCCCCCAGGCCACCCACAGUUCCUCUUUACAGCUGUGCCGAGGCACGGGACCGGCCUGGUCUCGGUGGGGCCACACUGGUCUAGCCUCGGGCACCUGAUGAGAAGGCUUCCCCAGGGCAUCCUGGGUGCUCUUCUCAGGCAAAGGGGGAAGAAGAUGAGGACAGGGCCGCCUCCUCCAGGACACCCUCCCCAGAGGGUCUGGCCCCUGCAGGUCAUUCAGCCUACAGAUGAUGUCGGCCAGCUCAGAAAGCAGAAGCCAGGAAGAUGGAACCCCAGCCUUGGGCUGUGGUCGAUGCUACCCCUGCCCCUCAUGCCACACGCUUUGUCGUGAUUAAAGCUCAGAAAGUUCCA